Molecule: small nucleolar RNA, 136 nt
Organism: Strongylocentrotus purpuratus (purple sea urchin)
Lineage: Eukaryota; Metazoa; Echinodermata; Echinoidea; Camarodonta; Strongylocentrotidae
Product: small nucleolar RNA SNORA57
Exons: 1
Source: RefSeq, a predicted model, not a curated record
CCUCCUUUUCUUGGCAUCUCUGAACUCUCCCCAUGUUUAUGAGAUGAAUGCAACCAGGAGGAAGAUUAACAUGAUGAACCUUCGGUGUCAGGGUUCUUAUUGUGCCCUGGUCCCAUCCUCUAGCAUCAUUACAGGG